Molecule: transfer RNA, 73 nt
Filed under: Stegodyphus mimosarum
Lineage: Eukaryota; Metazoa; Arthropoda; Arachnida; Araneae; Eresidae
Rfam family: tRNA
About the family: Transfer RNA (tRNA) molecules are approximately 80 nucleotides in length. Their secondary structure includes four short double-helical elements and three loops (D, anti-codon, and T loops).
Source: Rfam by way of RNAcentral
GCCUUUGUGGUGUAGUGAUCAGCACGCUCGACGCAUAACCGCGAGGUCCAUGGUUCGAUUCCCGGCGAGGGCA